This 88-nucleotide non-coding RNA is filed under the name Mesorhizobium sp. Root157. The record is from RNAcentral. RNAcentral also lists the same sequence under 1 other name. Lineage: Bacteria; Pseudomonadati; Pseudomonadota; Alphaproteobacteria; Hyphomicrobiales; Phyllobacteriaceae.
GGUUACGGGUUUGGAAGCUGGUGGGAAUCCAGCACGGUCGCGCCACUGUGAUCGGCAGAUGCCGAGAGUCAGGACUUUUCCCGUUGCC